Long non-coding RNA from Etheostoma spectabile (orangethroat darter), 167 nucleotides. RefSeq lists it as uncharacterized. The transcript is spliced from 3 exons. The record is from RefSeq and is a predicted model, not a curated record. Lineage: Eukaryota; Metazoa; Chordata; Actinopteri; Perciformes; Percidae.
AACAGUGCUGACGGAAGAUUGGGGUGCAUUAUGCUAGUAGUAGCUAAUGUAGCCUCGAGCCUCUAGCCCCAAGCAGAGAUGAGGAGCAUGCUACAGAGGUCUGGUGAGCUCACCUCUUUCUAACUCCACACACCCACAUUGAUUUUAAUUUCAAACUUGCAGUCCAG